Small nucleolar RNA from Sciurus vulgaris (Eurasian red squirrel), 131 nucleotides. The record is from Ensembl. Lineage: Eukaryota; Metazoa; Chordata; Mammalia; Rodentia; Sciuridae.
CCUUUCAACAAAGGCAUUUCUUUGGUUCUCUGUCUUUGGACAUAUAAGCACUGGAGGAAAAGAAAUGUGGAUUUGGAGAAAUCUGGGGCCAGCUUGCUCCCUAUGGGCUCAGAAUCAAUCAUCUCACAUAG